GUACACGCUGUGACUAGCAUAUCAAUAAGCGGAGGAAAAGGAACUAACAAGGAUUCCCCUAGUAACGGCGAGUGAAGCGGGAAGAGCUCAAAUUUGAAAUCUUAAAGGGUUUCCCUUUACGAAUUGUAGUUUAAAGAAGUGUUUUCUGUUGAGGUUUUGGUAAAAGUUCUUUGGAAUAGGACAUCAUAGAGGGUGAGAAUCCCGUAUUUGACCUUUACUUUCAACUUUGUGAUACACUUUCAAAGAGUCGGAUUGUUUGGGAAUGCAGUCCAAAAUGGGUGGUAAAUUUCAUCUAAAGCUAAAUAUUGGCGAGAGACCGAUAGCGAACAAGUACCGUGAGGGAAAGAUGAAAAGAACUUUGAAAAGAGAGUUAAACAGUACGUGAAAUUGUCAAAAGGGAAGCGUUUGACACCAGUGUUGUUUUUCUGAAAAUCAAUUAAAGAACUGUUUAUGCUAAGCUGUUUAGACUUUAUCAGCUAAUCUGUUUAGUUUUGAGCUUUUCUUUAAUGCACUUUUCAGUUAACAAGUCAACAUCAAUUUCUUUUGCUGUAAAAAGGCUUGAGGAAGGUGGCUUGAGAUUCGUCUUAAGUGUUUAUAGCCUCUUGCCUAUGCAGUCGGAGAGAUUGAGGUCUGCAGCGUAGAUCCUUCGGGGCUAAAUGCAUUUGUGCUAAGUUAUAGCAUUUCAUAGACAACUUGUUGACUAUGAUUUGUCUUGUAGCUUACUCGCUUAUGUUAUUUUACCUACGCUUAGGAUGUUGACGAGACUGUCGAUCUC
This 775-nucleotide ribosomal RNA is filed under the name uncultured Neocallimastigales. Its description in RNAcentral is "partial large subunit ribosomal RNA". It matches the Rfam family "Eukaryotic large subunit ribosomal RNA", at positions 22 to 647 of the family's 3401-position model. Lineage: Eukaryota; Fungi; Neocallimastigomycota; Neocallimastigomycetes; Neocallimastigales. The record is from RNAcentral.